AUUGAACGCUGGCGGCAUGCUUUACACAUGCAAGUCGAACGGUAACAGGCCGCAAGGUGCUGACGAGUGGCGAACGGGUGAGUAAUGCAUCGGAACGUGCCCAGUCGUGGGGGAUAACUACUCGAAAGAGUAGCUAAUACCGCAUACGAUCUAUGGAUGAAAGCGGGGGACCGUAAGGCCUCGCGCGAUUGGAGCGGCCGAUGUCAGAUUAGGUAGUUGGUGGGGUAAAGGCUCACCAAGCCAACGAUCUGUAGCUGGUCUGAGAGGACGACCAGCCACACUGGGACGGAGACACGGCCCAGACUCCUACGGGAGGCAGCAGUGGGGAAUUUUGGACAAAGGGCGCAAGCCUGAUCCAGCAAUGCCGCGUGCAGGAAGAAGGCCUUCGGGUUGUAAACUGCUUUUGUACGGAACGAAACGGCUCUGGUUAAUACCCGGGGCUAAUGACGGUACCGUAAGAAUAAGCACCGGCUAACUACGUG
RNAcentral lists this ribosomal RNA (482 nucleotides) under uncultured bacterium. Its description in RNAcentral is "partial 16S ribosomal RNA". It matches the Rfam family "Bacterial small subunit ribosomal RNA", at positions 30 to 507 of the family's 1533-position model. The record is from RNAcentral.